AGAGUUUGAUCCUGGCUCAGGAUGAACGCUGGCGGCGUGCCUAAUACAUGCAAGUCGAGCGAACCACUUCGGUGGGAAGCGGCGAACGGGUGAGUAACACGUAGGUGAUCUGCCCAUCAGACGGGGACAACGAUUGGAAACGAUCGCUAAUACCGGAUAGGACGAAAGUUUAAAGAUGCUCCUGGCAUCACUGAUGGAUGAGCCUGCGGCGCAUUAGCUAGUUGGUGGGGUAAAGGCCUACCAAGGCGACGAUGCGUAGCCGACCUGAGAGGGUGAACGGCCACACUGGGACUGGGACACGGCCCAGACUCCUACGGGAGGCAGCAGUAGGGAAUCUUCGGCAAUGGGCGAAAGCCUGACCGAGCAACGCCGCGUGAAUGAAGAAGGCCUUCGGGUUGUAAAAUUCUGUUAUAAGGGAAGAAAGGUGAUAGGAGGAAAUGACUAUCAAUUGACGGUACCUUAUGAGAAAGCCACGGCUAACUACGUG
RNAcentral lists this ribosomal RNA (487 nucleotides) under uncultured Turicibacter sp. RNAcentral describes it as "bacterial SSU rRNA". It matches the Rfam family "Bacterial small subunit ribosomal RNA", at positions 8 to 507 of the family's 1533-position model. The record is from RNAcentral. Lineage: Bacteria; Bacillati; Bacillota; Erysipelotrichia; Erysipelotrichales; Turicibacteraceae.